AAAAAUUUUAUCUUCAACCCUUAUACGUUAAAUAAGUACGAACCUCGUUUUUUCAAAUGGGAACAUAUGUUUUAAAUUCCAUAAAUAUAAAGACAAAAAAUCUAAAAAAAUGUUAGCGUUUGAAUUUUUAAUUUUCAUCCAUUUGUUCGCUGUUUAUGACUUUGUAAAGAUUUGAAUUUUUGUCUAUAUUUCUUAAUAAUUUCAUUCGAUUCGACAAAGACAAGUAGUUUUAUUACGACGGUCAUCACAUCAAAUAUAAUAAUAAUUUGAUGUUAACGCAUUCCGUAUCAUAAUCAGAUAUAAUAAAUAACCAUACAUUAUUAGACGAAAGGUAGACUGUUACGGAUAACGGACUUUACACUUUAACCUAAUCUAGCUGGAGCUAGUCAUUAGCUGGUUAUCUCGGAUAACAAUCUAGUAUCUAAACUAUGUAUCAGUUACCACGGAAUAAUCGAGUGACCAGUACCCAUAAUAUAUUUUAUUAUUUGUACAAAAUCGCAUUAUAUUUAUUAUUUGUACAUAACCUCAUCGCUAACAAAUUUCGACUUCGAAGUUCACACGUUUACAUUAGUGAAAUGAGGAAUUGCAAACUUAAUUAAAAAAUGUUAGUAAAUUUACAUUUUACUUUAUAGUAAAUAUGAUAGCAUGCUUAUUGUAGUUAUGUCAUAACUCGUUAUUUUAUAAUUUUUUAAAUAUAUUAAUUGAUAAUAUUUGCUCUCGACUUUAUUUUGACGUUACAUUCUUGGACACACCAUUAAUUUAAUAGGUUGAAUGCUUUUUUCCGAAAAUCUUUUAUCAUUUAAAAAUCAAUGUUAUCAUGUCAGAAAUAUCUAUGGCGUUGAGAAUAGGCUAUACCAAUUACUAUGGAAAUGUCUUUUCAAUUGGACCCAAGACUGAAGACCUUACAAUUUUAUAUUAAGGUGUAAAUUAUAAAUAUAAAGCAUUAAUUUAAUAGGUUGAAUGCUUUUUUACUGAAAAUAUUUCAUCUUUUAAAAACCAAUGUUAUCAUGUAAAAUUGGAUUUGAGUAUGACAUAUCAAUUGCUAUGGAAAUGUCUUUCCAAUCGGACCCAAGACCUUACAUUUAUAUAUCAAGGUGUAAAUUAUAAGUAUAAAACAUUUAUUUCUAAUGUGACAUUUUUUCAUGUGAAUGUAUAAUAUCAACACUAAGCAAUUUGAAUGAAAAGUGUGUUGUGUUAACUUAAAAUAAUUAUUAAUGCAUGUAUUUGUGUAUGUGGGUUGAUAAUACUCAUAUACCUGUUUCAUUUAUUUUUAAAAAUAU
Molecule: long non-coding RNA, 1280 nt
Organism: Adelges cooleyi (spruce gall adelgid)
Lineage: Eukaryota; Metazoa; Arthropoda; Insecta; Hemiptera; Adelgidae
Exons: 3
Source: RefSeq, a predicted model, not a curated record